RNAcentral lists this long non-coding RNA (506 nucleotides) under Capra hircus (goat). RNAcentral's name for it is "lncRNA (ENSCHIG00000007958.1)". The record is from RNAcentral. Lineage: Eukaryota; Metazoa; Chordata; Mammalia; Artiodactyla; Bovidae.
CAGGCUUCAGAUCCACAGGCCCAGGUGACCUCCAGAACAUGAUGACUCAUAACGGAGAACAGCUGUAUUUGCAGUUAGAGGACUCACUGCCCCCAGCCCAGCAACGCUGCUGUAGAGAGAUGAGCUGAGCUCAUCGCACCCUUCCACCCACAAAGAAUACACUCUUUCUUCGAGACUAAGUCUGCAGAAAAGUGAAAGUGAAGUCGCUCAGUCGUGUCUGACUCUUUGCAACCCCAUGGAAUGUCUGCAGAAGCCUCCAUCAAUACCAGUGGACUCCAAAGACAGUUCUGUACAGAGGACAUGGGAUGGACUCUGUCAUUCUGGGGAACUGUGAAUCUUUGUUUUUCCUGGGCCAAACUAAAGUGAACUUCAUUCCUGUCUGAUCUUUCCCCAUCUUCAAAAGUGGAAGCUCCUUUGUUCAAGGUAAGUGAACCAGAUAUCUGCACUGAAUAUUUGUUUCUUUUAUAUUUUAAUUGAUACAGACAUAGAUGGUCUUCUUAUGAGAU